CGACCGGCGCACGGGUGAGUAACACGUAUCCAACCUGCCGAUGACUCGGGGAUAGCCUUUCGAAAGAAAGAUUAAUACACGAUGGCAUAGUUCUUCCGCAUGGUAGAACUAUUAAAGAAUUUCGGUCAUCGAUGGGGAUGCGUUCCAUUAGGUUGUUGGCGGGGUAACGGCCCACCAAGCCUUCGAUGGAUAGGGGUUCUGAGAGGAAGGUCCCCCACAUUGGAACUGAGACACGGUCCAA
RNAcentral lists this ribosomal RNA (241 nucleotides) under uncultured bacterium. RNAcentral describes it as "partial 16S ribosomal RNA". It matches the Rfam family "Bacterial small subunit ribosomal RNA", at positions 92 to 334 of the family's 1533-position model. The record is from RNAcentral.